CACCUGCCUCUUCCCGUCAUUCCCCGCUCUGCGUUCCAUCUACCUACGCUUGCUCUUUUCCCUCCUUUUUUUUUUGUGCUCUCUCUCAGUCUUUCUCUCCACCCCUCCUUGUCCUCAACCCCCCUACGCUGUGUGUCACCGCUGCCGGGAAGAAAGAAAAAUGCUCUGGCCAACGAAAGUAGAAGAGAAAGGAGAAAACGGAGAAAAGAGUCGAAGAGGAGAAGAAAGCGAAAGCUGGAGAGUGUUUGGAGCCCAGCGAUGCCUCCAUCCACCUUGAGCCCGACUCUUCUUUGAUGGAAUAUCCCGGACAGCAGAGGGCAGAAGGAGGGAGAAGACGGAGAAGAAAAAGUAGAAGAGAAGGGAGACCGAAAGAAGAAUAAACGAAAGGGAGAAGGCAGGACGGCCAGCGCUUGCCUCAGGAGGUCCGGUCUCAUUGUCCUCACACACACCUCGCCUCCGAGUGUCAGCGCGCGCGUGUGUGCAUGUGUCUGUGUGAGGACGGGGGUGCAGCCAGUCAUUUCUACACCACAGCGCAGCGGAGCGCCGCGUUCCACUCUGAGGUUUACGUGGAUGCGGUGCAUCAGAUAGGCUAUGCCCUUCACCUGUGCCUGCUUCUGUGGCCUGAACGGCUUCUGCCGCAGACGGAAGAAGAAGAAAAAGGAGCAAGUGGAAGAAGAGGAGGGUGAGGAGGGUGAGGAGGUAGAACGAUUGAGGGAUCAGGAGACAGAGGUGUGACGGCGACGCAGUCAGCUGCGCUCUCCUUACUGUCACCAGGGUUUUAUCCUUUAACAGGCUGGAAUGUAUGGCCUGGGUUACUGCUGCUCAGUACAGACUGUCUCAUAUUAAGCAUGGGGAUACUAUAACAGGGGUGGUAAGGGAGCUUCAGCAGGUACAGGCUUUUAUUGAAAAAUUCUGAAUUAAUUUAGGUUUUUUUUUUUUUUUAAUGGAAACUUCUUUUCCAAAUGUUACUGGGACUAGGGCUCCAGGUUCUACAUAGCUUCUACUUUCCACUUUAAGUUGCAUAAACUCAACAACCGCAAAGCUGUCUUGAGCCAUAUUCCUCAAGAUGAAUCAGAUUGAUGAAAAUAAAAGCCUGUGAACUCGGAGCUCAUCCCCAUUACCCAUCCUUGCAGCACUCUAAUUUUCCCUUGGCAGCUGACUGAGAACUUUGCUUCUGCUGGUGUGAUUCCAAAAAAACAUCUCUUAUCUGUUUGAUUAAUUUCUUGCCAUAGCUGGUGUACUGUACAAGGUGUGAAGAAAGCCAUUAUUUCUCUCAGUCACACUUCUCAGCGAGGCUGCACCUCUCCCUUCUCCUCCUCAAUCGCAGCUCCGCGGAGGCUGAAACGAUGGAGCUCUGCAUCUCCUCACCUACAUGCUUAUGUCAGAUCGACUUAGUGAAAACUUCAGCCAAGUGAGAAAGUGUACAGUAAUUUCCAAAGUCACCCAUGGCGGGCCGGAGCCCAUCUCGGUUUUCACGCUGAGAUGGGCUUAAUCUAAAGCAGAGCAGCUGUCCAAUCAGCAGCUUAGCUGGAGUGUGAAGAUAGGAGUCAAGGGUCAGAAUGAGCAACAGGGUUUGUGAAAAGUCCCUCCUCUGAUGCCGUAGCAUCUCGGUCUCAUUAAUAGGCAGACAAGUAAUUACAAACACACAGACACUGAUGCAGACCCAUCCGUUAAUGUCCCCCGGUGGGAGUGGAGUGUCUGCGCGUAAAUGCCACUGCGGUGCGCUUCCAGCUGUCACCUGUGUGAGUGUAUGACUCCGAAAAUGUGUGUCUGUGUGCUUGUGUUUCUUCUUGGCUGCAACAAUAGACUUUCAAACCUGAAACAAGUGGUUAAGAGAUCUAUUCAGCUGCUAUAGAACCGCCUUUUCAGAAUGCACAUCGAGACACAAAGACAAAGACACACACACACACACACACACACACACAGGUCUCAUUAGCGUAUGUGAUUAUGCAUGGCACGUCCAGUCAGGCAGUGGAGAUGUAAUUAACCUUUUCCAGCAGGAAACAGAUGCCUGGAUGUCACACACAAACACACAAUGACAUACACACGCAGACACACACACACACGUCUGCUGUCAGGGAAACAAAGCCAACGUCACGGUGUCACGGAAACAAAGCCCCAAAAGCGCCGCCUGGCACUCUGUGAUAAUCCCCUCACGCAUAUUUACAUUCAGAGCUUAGAAUACGCCUCGGUGCCACCGUCUCCACCCCUCGCCACACUCCGCUACC
This is a non-coding RNA of Epinephelus lanceolatus (giant grouper), 2228 nucleotides long. The record is from RefSeq and is a predicted model, not a curated record. Lineage: Eukaryota; Metazoa; Chordata; Actinopteri; Perciformes; Serranidae.